This 253-nucleotide ribosomal RNA is filed under the name uncultured bacterium. Its description in RNAcentral is "partial 16S ribosomal RNA". It matches the Rfam family "Bacterial small subunit ribosomal RNA", at positions 524 to 776 of the family's 1533-position model. The record is from RNAcentral.
UACGUAGGGGGCAAGCGUUGCUCGGAAUCACUGGGCGUAAAGGGUGCGUAGGCGGGUCUUUAAGUCAGGGGUGAAAUCCUGGAGCUCAACUCCAGAACUGCCUUUGAUACUGAAGAUCUUGAGUUCGGGAGAGGUGAGUGGAACUGCGAGUGUAGAGGUGAAAUUCGUAGAUAUUCGCAAGAACACCAGUGGCGAAGGCGGCUCACUGGCCCGAUACUGACGCUGAGGCACGAAAGCGUGGGGAGCAAACAGG